AUUUGACCUCAAAUCAGGUAGGAUUACCCGCUGAACUUAAGC
RNAcentral lists this ribosomal RNA (42 nucleotides) under Hebeloma pseudofragilipes. RNAcentral's name for it is "partial 28S ribosomal RNA". Lineage: Eukaryota; Fungi; Basidiomycota; Agaricomycetes; Agaricales; Hymenogastraceae. RNAcentral also lists the same sequence under 1 other name. The record is from RNAcentral.